ACCUGUUGUCAAGAGGCUGUCAAUGGCCUGCCAGAGUUCUAUAAAAAGAACUCUUGGGCCCUGAUCCUUUUAUCUCAUAUGUGCUUAAGCUUCAUCAGAGGAAGUUUGAGUCACAAGAUUGAGAUCUUCAGUCUCAUCUGGAUCACCCUGAUAUAGUCUAUAACCUAUGGACUAAUUCUAAAAGAACUCUCUACAGCUCACCAUCUCUACUAUAAAGCUGACCUAAGAACUCUAUUCAUGUCUGCUCUGUCAAAUCCUGUCUGAUUCUUACCAUGGCAAUGUGGCAAAGGUGCAGCUCUCAUAUCCUCUGAGACCAGAAAUUUUUCCAUGUUUCCACUUUUGAUAGUAUUCCUUUUCAAGGACUUGACCUACUAAGGCCCAAUAAGACUACUGCAUGACUUCUGCUGGUAGCAAAGGGAGUCUACUCAAUUCCUCAUCUUUGAUAUUGGCAAACAGUGAUGCAAAAGAUCAGGAUUCUAGUAAGUUUCACUUCAGAACAAAUUGAAAAGAGGAAGCAGCCGGUGAAGCAGAAGCCAACUACAAGUUGGUGAAAGAGAGAACACAAAUGAGAAGUAGCAAAUGACACAGAAUUGGAGAAGUGGACACAAAAUGUAGCAUGAAGAGAAGGGUUAUGGCUAAUAGUUAUUGCAUUAAAAAUGUACUCUUAAAACUUGUACAAUAUCAUUUGUUUAAAGAUAAGGCCCCCAUUAAAACAGCAUAUUUAAAAAAUAACUUUCAUUAGUUUCAAGUGAAUAACUAAAAGCACUCAGUUGAACAGAGGAAAAAAGUAGUUUUUAAAAAGUCAAAAUUAAAAAACUCACUAAAUGGUAGCUAUUAGUAUGAAAAAAAUUACUGCACAGUGAAGAAAUUAUGUAAAUUACCAACAGAAAAUUAUCCUAAUCUGCUCCAAGCAUGUGACAAGCCAUGUUGUAUUACUCCAGCAGAUGGAGCAUGAAUUCAGAAGCAGCCUUUCUUUCAGUUUCUCCACAAAUUUAAAAAGCAACAAAAAAUGCACAGCUAAAUUGUCCUUUGUCCAAACUAAGUACACUGCAUUUUGCUAUUGUGCAGUUGUGUGUAAACAAAUUAUUCUGUCCCUGUAAACAUCACUAGAAUUUUUUGUAUCUUUUUUUAAAUUGGUAAAGACUGUAGAACUAGCACUUAGAUAUAGCCUAGAUAUAAGCAUGCACUGAAGGGAAAGACUUCAACCAAAGGAAAAGGAGGAGAGAGG
This is a long non-coding RNA of Dermochelys coriacea (leatherback sea turtle), 1228 nucleotides long. RefSeq lists it as uncharacterized. The transcript is spliced from 4 exons. NCBI's taxonomy places the organism in Eukaryota, Metazoa, Chordata, Testudines, Dermochelyidae. The record is from RefSeq and is a predicted model, not a curated record.